This 1359-nucleotide ribosomal RNA is filed under the name uncultured bacterium. RNAcentral's name for it is "bacterial SSU rRNA". It matches the Rfam family "Bacterial small subunit ribosomal RNA". The record is from RNAcentral.
GAGUUUGAUCCUGGCUCAGGAUGAACGCUGGCGGCGUGCUUAAGACAUGCAAGUCGAACGCAGCCGCUCCGCAAGGGGUGGCUGAGUGGCGAAUGGGUGCGUAACACGUAGGUGACCUGCCCGGAAGUGGGGAAUAACAGUCCGAAAGGACUGCUAAUACCGCAUGCGGUGCACGGGUUUUGAAGCCGUGCUCCAAAGGUACGAGCAAUCGUGCCGCUUUCGGAGGGGCCUGCGGCCCAUCAGCUAGUUGGCAGGGUAAUGGCCUACCAAGGCGACGACGGGUAGGGGACCUGAGAGGGUGACCCCCCACACUGGCACUGACACACGGGCCAGACUCCUACGGGAGGCAGCAGUCGGGAAUAUUGCCCAAUGGACGAAAGUCUGAGGCAGCAACGCCGCGUGCGCGAUGAAGGCCUUCGGGUCGUAAAGCGCUUUUCGGGUGGAUGAGAGCGGACAGUACACCCGGAAUCAGGUACGGCUAACUACGUGCCAGCAGGCGCGGUAAAACGUAGGUACCGAGCGUUAUCCGGAUUUACUGGGCGUAAAGCGCGUUCAGGCGGUUGGGCAAGUCGGGCAUGAAAUCUCUCGGCUCAACCGGGAGAGGUUGUCCGAUACUGCCGGACUGGAGGGCAGUAGAGGGUGGUGGAAUUCCGGGUGUAGUGGUGAAAUGCGUAGAGAUCCGGAGGAACACCAGUGGCGAAAGCGGCCACCUGGACUGCACCUGACGCUGAAACGCGAAAGCUAGGGGAGCGAACGGGAUUAGAAACCCCGGUAGUCCUAGCUAUAAACGAUGUUGACUAGGUGUUGGCGGUCUAAACCCCGUCAGUGCCGCAGCAAACGCAUUAAGUCAACCGCCUGGGGACUACGGCCGCAAGGUUAAAACUCAAAGGAAUUGACGGGGACCCGCACAAGCAGCGGAGCGUGUGGUUUAAUUCGUCGAAACGCGAAGAACCUUACCAGGGCUUGACAUGCACCGGAAAGCGGCGGAAACGUCGUCCUCCCGCAAGGGAUCGGUGUGCAGGUGUUGCAUGGCUGUCGUCAGCUCGUGUCGUGAGAUGUUGGGUUAAGUCCCGCAACGAGCGCAACCCCCGUGGCAUGUUGUAUCACUCAUGCCAGACUGCCGAGAGAAACUCGGAGGAAGGCGGGGAUGACGUCAAGUCAGCAUGGCCCUUACGUCCUGGGCUACACACACGCUACAAUGGCCGGUACAACGGGUUGCCAAACCGCGAGGUGGAGCUAAUCCCUUAAAGCCGGUCUCAGUUCGGAUUGCAGGCUGCAACUCGCCUGCAUGAAGCCGGAGUUGCUAGUAACCGCAGGUCAGCACACUGCGGUGAAUAUGUUCCCGGGCCUUGCACACAC